Molecule: long non-coding RNA, 4472 nt
Organism: Helianthus annuus (common sunflower)
Lineage: Eukaryota; Viridiplantae; Streptophyta; Magnoliopsida; Asterales; Asteraceae
Exons: 3
Source: RefSeq, a predicted model, not a curated record
UUAACCUCACUAUCCUCUGGGGACUUAGAUAUCAAGAAUUGAACACAUACAGAACGCCUAAGACUCGAAUAUGGGUUCCAACCGUUGCCGAAAACAAUGAGUCAACAAUUUUGGUUUUAAACAAACACAAGUGUUGUGUUGAUACACAGUACACGAAACAAUUACACACAUAAAGCAAGACUUUGAGAGUUGUGGUAACACACAUUUAGGACCUCUGGAAAACUUAUGACGAAAUUCGUUAAAGGUCCUCACGUAGGAACUGUGAUUAUUAACUCGCGCAAACGCCAUUAUAUUAUGUCGUCUAUGCUAUCUUACUUACCUGAGCAGGUAACCUACGCGGACUGAAAUGGUAGUGCACGAGAAUAAAUGAAACUCAAAUUAUACGUCGACGGAUGUCGGAGCAAAUCACAUUCUACGCGGAACGAAACACUAGUGCACAAGUAUACGCGAAACUUAAGCCAUACGUCAGCGGACGUCAGAGUACAUCACACACGACUUUCGAGGCAAGGCCUCGGGGAAAACACAAAUAGACACGACAACAAUGAUGCUAAUUUCGUCAGUGGGAGAACUACUGAUCGAAAAGCAGCAAUAUGCCACGUGAUCCUGCAAACGACAUGAAACACGCUGAGGUACGUUUAAACAAGAUUUCACAAUGGUCGAUACUUAGUCUGAAGAGACUCACAAUUGUUGGCGCUGCAAAAGAAGUCACACGUCUUCGCAUCUCCUCUAUUUCAUUUAUGGCGAUUACGCUAUGUUCGACAUUCCAUGGUAAUGUCAACUAACAAACGGUUAUCACGUGGAAUUCCAGGUAAAGUCCUUAAAUUUCUUUUGUUGAAAUUCUGACUUUUGCAUAUAGUGAGUAGAUUUUCGUAUUUCUACUCCCCCUAAUGGUCAUUGCACCAUGAAGAUUUUAUUUCAUGAUAGCGAACACUCAAUUGUUUCAUUUUUUUUUUUUUGACAAAUUCAUCUGAUACGCAUGCAUUGUUUGUUGCGCAUGUGGUUUCACUCCAAAUUGAUGCUUUAUCAAAGUCCAAAUAUUCUUUCACUAUACUUGAGCGUUGCAUUGUGAUCUAGAUGACCCGCCUUAUUGCAAUGUGUUGACUCUUUGAUAUCGAGUCGACGGAUUUCUUGGAAAACUCAUUUUCUUUUGAGUGGUAUACAUGGUUUUUCGUUGUAACCAUGUCGAAAUCUCUUGUUAACACAUGCAUUUAUCGUUGGAAUGUGACUAAACCAAGUUUAAUUGUUGAACUUGCUCGAAAUAUAUAUUCGAUUCAAGAUUCCAUAUGAUGGAUUGAGGCCAUCAUAUUCGAAAUAAUCCCAACAAGCACUUCAUUUGCUUUGAACCAUAACAUGCUUGUUUGGUCUUCGACUUCAUUGUAUCGUUUCUUUGAUCACGAUCACCUUGUGGUGGCGUCUUUCACAAGUCUAAAGCUUGCGCUAAUCUCGUUGCUCAUAUUAUGUACGGAUUUAAUCAUUUAUUUAUUUGUUUAUUGAUAUUAAAUCCGCUUUGUUGAUUUAUCAUAUUAAAGCAAUCUUUACACAAUCGUGUGUUAAGAUAAUGGUACACAAAUUUAUGUCAUAUUUCGGUGUACCUCUUAACGGUUCUUUCAGCAUCGAUCAAACAUUUUGUAUAUUUAUUGCUCUUUCAUUUUCGAUCGAAAACGUUAUUUAUUUAUUUCAUUUUCAAUCGAAAAUCCUACGAGAUUUGUUUGAAACAAACAUUCAGAUUUACUUUGUUGAACCUUUUAUCUGAUUAAAACACGGUGAUGCUUGUUCGGUCACCGCUAUUGUUGAAUUAUUUCAUUCAUAACGACACCUUGUGGCGUCGGUAUAAACUUGUAGCCUUUGCUAAUCGUAAUCGAUUGUUUCAUGCAAAACCACAUAUGCUUUUCGAUUGACACAUCAUUUAAGUAGUCUUAAUGCAACUAUGUAUUACGACGAUGAUACACCAGGUUCGUUUGUAUUUCAUUCGGUGUAUCCUUUCAACUCAACAAUGUCAACACCUUGAUUUUAUCUUAUUUAUUUACUGGUUCGAUAGUUGACAAAUCAUUUUUAGGAUUCUAUUUAUUUGAGCUUGUUGAAUUCGAGUUUCAAUCAUACAACAACCAACGCAAGUAUCCGUUGGUAGUAAAUUCUCUUGUUUCAAAAAUUGAUUGCAUAUUGUGAACGUUCCAUUGGAAUUCUAUUGGUCGAAAUUCCUCUUUUGUUGAAUCCUGUAAACUUGGUCGCAUUGGUGAUAGUAUCACUACGCUUCGUUCACUUGACAUCGGUUUCUUGAACAAACUCAGUUGAACCGUUGGGUUUUUAUUGAUGCAAAAUGUCUUGACGUUCAUAUAAUUCGAAUAAGUCUGGAUUUGAUUACGCAGUCAUUCAUUUUGGUUUUAUUCGGACUUACCUAGGAGCAACACAACUCUAAGGAGGUAACAUAGACUAAAUUUCGAGGACGAAAUUUCUACAACAGGGGGAGAAUGUGACAACCGGUAAUUAACGGCUCCUAAUUAUGCGAUUAACAAACGUUUAAGGCGAUAAUAAGUAGUGUUAAGACACGAAUUAACUUAAUUAGGCUUGUGGAAUGCCUAGGAACGGUUGUCUGACUUUAAAGUGCGCGAACGGUGGUCUACGAAAAAAAACGUUGAAUAUUUAACGGUAACGAGCUGAAACCGUGCGAAAUACUGACAACACCCGACAAAUUAAAUUUUUUUUUAUGGUUCUAUUUUAUACGAGUGACUAGUGGGCAUAAUGAAGUUAGUGUUUUAUACAUCUAACAAAACUUAAUCCAUGCCAUACUUUUUGAUAGCUUGGUGAAAAACAAAUUCCAAUAAAGUGAGAAGCCAUCUCACGUUUUCUUUUGCCAUACCCAUUAUGGCAUAUGAAAUUGCAAUAUUAUACUAAUAUAAUAUGACCAUAUGUGUAAGUGUAUGUCACUUGAUUGAAACUUAUAAAUAUCAACUAAUACUGAUAUGAUCUUGUUGUACUACAUUUUGUAACUAUAGAUAUGAUAAAUUUUAUUUAUCAUUUAGUUACAUUAUAAAUAUAAAUAUAAAUACAUAUAGUUAGAGUGGGAUCAGAAGACUUUGCAAAAUAUAAUAAUAAUUUGUAGAUCUUCUAGAAAGGAUGUAAAAGACAAUUUGUUUAAAAAAAAUAUAACAAAAUAAUAGCAAUCCCAUGCCUUUUUCCUUUGGUCAGGCGACUGUAUUGACAGAAGUGGGAAUGAUGUGUUAAAUUACCAUCAUGGAAUGGUAUGGCCUGCAUUGAGUAAACUUCCACCACACUUUACCUAUAUUAUACGGAUGUUGGAGAUCAUUUUAGAUGGGUUUUUGGCUUUACAAUUCUCGACAGAUUCACUUCAGAUCUGUCCAGAAUUUUACACUACAUCAAUUGUUUUGUGAGUUAUUUUGAGAGCUUGAACAACCUAUUAACUAGUCUAAGUGCUAAGUCUGGUUAAUUAGGUGUUGUGGUUGUGUCGGGCGGCAAAGGUGGGGUGGUGGUGACGCAGUGACGUCCGAUCUCCCAUUGCCCCCCCCCCGGUUAUUCCGACGACGGCGGAGUUGUACGGCGGCGCUAAGGUUUUUCCGUCGAUGAUGAUGACGAUGAUACAAGAUGAUGAUGAUUACAAUGGUGAUGGGUUUUCCGUUUCGAGCUACGUCGCCGGUCGUAACGACUCCGGCAGCCGCGAAUCAAACACCUCCACUCCGGUGGUGGUAGUGGUGGUAGUGAUGAUGGCAGUGUUGGUGUUUAUGUUCAGUUCGUUUCAGUUUGAUUCGGGUCCGGGGAAGAUGUUACAGAUUCUCGUUUUGGCUUGAUUUUUGGUUCGGAUAGUAACGGGAUGGUGCUUGGUGACGGGUCCACGGCAAUAGCGAUGAUGGCGGUCGGUUAGGCUUGUGAUUAAGCGGGACAUAUUUAUGUCUCGGGUUCGCGGUCCAGGUUUCGGGUUUAGACGGGUUCGCUACGGAAUCGGGUUUGGAUCAGAAUUUGUCAAUAGCAGAUGUGUGUGGUUUCAGUUCGGGUCUCGUUUCGGGUUAACGGUCAACCACGGCCAGAUUUUGGGUCAACAAGUCAACGGUUCAGUCAACCGUGGUCAAAGUCAGAUUUGGGUUCGGUCAACACCGGGACAACUCAGUCAAUGCUGGUCAACUCGGGUCAACAGUCAACCUGAUCAGCCAGUCGAAACCAGCAAACACACGACGCGGAUUAGGAAUGCUAUAGUUGCACGCUAGCGAGUUCACGUUCUUGGAACAACAUCACGGAAUCACGUUAAGCUAGCUUUGCACAGGGAUGUCCAGGUUACAUUGUCAAAACUACAGAACGGUUGGAAUAGAAGAACCCACGGGAUUUCGAGUAAUUAGCGGGCGUUCAUUUUUUAGAAGUCUUAGCUUUUUGCUUCCGCUGUGCAAUGAAGAUACCGGUCCAGUCACGCCAGCUCUGAUAUUUCGGGGUGUGACACUAUACCUACUGAUUACCACGUUAUCUAG